Molecule: ribosomal RNA, 407 nt
Filed under: Haloanella gallinarum
Lineage: Bacteria; Pseudomonadati; Bacteroidota; Flavobacteriia; Flavobacteriales; Flavobacteriaceae
Description: bacterial SSU rRNA
Rfam family: Bacterial small subunit ribosomal RNA
Source: RNAcentral
AGCCGUGCGGUUGACGUUUCUUCGGAAACUUGAGAGCGGCGCACGGGUGCGUAACACGUGUGCAACCUACCUUUAUCUGGGGGAUAGCCUUUCGAAAGGAAGAUUAAUACCCCAUAAUAUAAUGAUUGGCAUCAAUUAUUAUUGAAAACUCCGGUGGAUAGAGAUGGGCACGCGCAAGAUUAGAUAGUUGGUGAGGUAACGGCUCACCAAGUCAAUGAUCUUUAGGGGUCCUGAGAGGGAGAUCCCCCACACUGGUACUGAGACACGGACCAGACUCCUACGGGAGGCAGCAGUGAGGAAUAUUGGACAAUGGGUGAGAGCCUGAUCCAGCCAUCCCGCGUGAAGGAUGACGGUCCUAUGGAUUGUAAACUUCUUUUGUACAGGGAUAAACCUACUCUCGUGCGGGU